UUUUCAAACAACUCGGUAGGAGCAACCUCGCCACCGCCUCGUUCGAUUGCAACCUUGGCCUUUUCAAAGUGGGACCCGUCGGCCUCAGGACCGAGGAAAACGACAAUGAUACCAAAGGCAAUGACAGCACCGAUGAGGAUACCAUUGAUAGCAGCAUAGUCUGGGAUAUCGGUACCGGCCAGCUUGAGGGAUUUACCAGCAUCGGCUUCGAUUUGGGCGGAGCCUGCAGAUGCCAUGUUACCGAGCUGAUGGAUUGUUGUAAGUUUUCAUUAACAAAGCCUCCAGGUCUCAAGGCCAUGAGAAUAAUUAGACAACUUACUUGGUAGCAGAGACCACCGAAGAGGGCUCGGAAAGCAGGAGGAGCAACUUCACCGAGGUAAACAGGGACAAUACCCCAAGCUACAACAUUUGUAACAAUGGUCAGUAUAGGAUUUUACAAUAUAACACAUUCAAGGCGACGCACCUCCCUGGACACCGCUUUGAAUGAAGCUGAAGGAAGAGAUACUGUCAACUGCCAUGAUCUGCCAGAGUAACAGUCUUUACUUACAAACCACCAGCAGCAAGUCCGGCGAAGCUAUCGGGAAGAAUCCAAAGAGGAAUCCAGCAAGCCUAAGGGUUUAUGAGCACGUAUUGCCGAACGAAAAAUGAAGGAAGAGUGCACUUACCGUGUAGACGCAACAUACCAAGAUUGCGAACCGCCUACCAACAAAUUGAGAGACGUGACCAGCAAUAGUACCACCGACGAUAGCGCCACAGCUAUACAGGUCAUUAGCAUAAAGGGAGAUAUAACAGACUGCAAAUGACUCACUUGGAAAUGAUAGUGGCCUUGGAGGCAAGAGAGCUGGAAAGACCCUUGGUGGUCUUAAGGUAAGUGGGAUAAAGGUCUUGACUACCGUGGGAGAAGAAGUUCUGAUCGUAAUAUUAGUUGUUAAGGCUGCGGUAUACCAGCAAGUGACUCACGAAGAAGGUCAUGAGGCAUACAGCCCAGAUCCAUCGAAGCCCUGCCGCGAACUAUCAGAUCACUCCCUCCAGUUUAAAAAACUCACAAUUGGUUCUGAACAUGUUGCCCAAUUCUCGGAUGAAGUUCUUAGAUGCCUGCUUACUGGAAAUAUUCUUCGCCCUGGCCUCUUCCCGAGCGACAAUAAAUUGUUUGGAUUCGGGGAGACAAGCCCUGACAAUAGCGGCGAGCAGAGAGAAACCAGCACCGAAGAAAUAGAUUGCUCGCCAGUGAUACUUGCUUCGUUGAACGACAGUCAGAUUAAUGACUGUAAGAUGGUGAGUCAGCUUAAUGAAUAAGUGCGAAACAAGGGUCGACACAUACCAGCGGCGAGAAGGUAGCCACAGGCGUAACCCUGUUGGAGAAUACCACUGCACAAGCCUCGAGCAAUAGGAGGCACAUUCUCAAGACCACUAUACAGAGUCAGUAAUGAAGGAAGUAAUGGAAUGCUCACGUGGCCGCAGCACAUCCCCAGAUGCCGCCCAUAGCAAUACCAAACAAACUCCUGUUUUGUCGAUCAGCACAGUUCUUACAGCAGAAAUUGAGCAACCCACCUGACGGCCAAGAAUUGCUGGUACGUGUUGACGAAACCAGAUCCAAGCUCGAAUACCAUGAUCAAAAGGCAAUUAAAAACCAAGGUCCACUUUCGUCCAUAACGGUCGGCACAGAGACCAAUGAUAACGGCACCCAAUGAACGGAAUAGAAGGGUGAGGGUGAUAGCGGUAGUGAUGGAGCUAGGAUCGACAUCGAAUUGCUCUGCUAAGGAGUCAAGGGUGAGGGAAACACAGAAAAAAUCAUAACCAUCGACUGUCCAUGCGAGCCAACCCUGCGGACAAAUCAACUGGGGUACUUCUGGCGAGGGAACAUUGCGCUUACGGAAAAGAACAUUAACCAUCCGAAAAGAGGAACGGUUCGAAUGAUUUUGAAAGGGUUUUUUGUUUCAGGUUCUUCUCCAGCGACAGGCUGCCGCAGACUGGGAAUCAUACACCUCAAAAAGGAUUUGCCCCCUCUGUUGGCAUGCCAUGCUGCUAGCUGAUCGCGGAUGGAAGAGGAACGGCGCGCUGGAAGGACGAAUGCGGACUCAUCUUCGUGGUGAAGCUCGUGCUCCUGUGUUUGGCGAGAAAGGUUUGAGGUAGACAUGUGGUGAUUCUUGAUGAACACAAAGCGAAGCAAUUAUGAGUAGCUGUAGGGUUAGUUGUAGGAUUAGUUGUAGGAUUAGUUGUAGGUCACUAAUGGUUGAUGGAUGCCGUUUGAGGAC
This 2255-nucleotide small RNA is filed under the name Cryptococcus neoformans H99. Its description in RNAcentral is "Cryptococcus neoformans var. grubii H99 hypothetical RNA". The record is from RNAcentral. Lineage: Eukaryota; Fungi; Basidiomycota; Tremellomycetes; Tremellales; Cryptococcaceae.